Durio zibethinus is the source of this 2424-nucleotide non-coding RNA. The record is from RefSeq and is a predicted model, not a curated record. Lineage: Eukaryota; Viridiplantae; Streptophyta; Magnoliopsida; Malvales; Malvaceae.
UUUUCAUUUUUAUGCUCCAACCUUCUCAUCUAUUAUCUUUUUAUCUAAAAUUCUUCCCUCUCCCAAGCCUUCUCCCCCUCUCUAAAAAUCUGUGUUCUAUCUUUAACCUUCUUCACCUCUCUCUAAAAAUUUUCCUUGUCUGUCUAAACUUCACCCCUCUCUCUAAAAACAAAAAGGGUUUUAGUUAAAGAAAGGGAGUAUAUGAUGCUUCGGACUUCAAGAAAAAAGGAAGUGGGAGGAAGCCUAAAAAGAAAAGUUAUGGGUGAAAAUGGGGGGAAAAUGAGAAGAAACGAUGUAGCUUGUUGAAUCAGGACAUGGCAAAGUCUACCCGUUAAAGGUAGUUCAGGGAGCUCAAAUAUCGGAUACCCGACUCGCUUGAGGCUGUUAUAGACGAUGCUGACAUUAACCUCCAAUUGCUUGAUGCAGGUCAGUGGUGAAUGGAACCUUAAAAAAAUCUCUCCAAAAUAUCUACAAUGAGGUGAGCUUCGAGAGACUUUUUUUCUCCUUGCUUCUGCACUUGGUGCAUGGCUGUUUGGCUUUAAAACUCUUCACUGGUUUGCAAGCUUCUUUUCAUGCAUUUUUGCCACACCAAAAAGUCCUCUUUAUAGCCAAUGGGAGCUCUCCAAAGUGCCAGCUCAUAUGCUUCUUAAAAUCUCCUUCAAGUCUUCAAAAGAUAAUUAUGUUUGUAGUUUGGAACUUCUUAUUGGAUUUUGUUAUCAAUUUUUUCCUAAUUGUUUUACAUGUUUAAUUUGAACCAUUUUGGUCCAAAGGUGAUUGGUGAAAAUGAUAAUAAAUUUGUUCCUAAAGUUAUGAUAUUUACAAUGAAGCUGAGAGCAGAUCCAGCUUUUUUUUACAAUCGAGCAUGACCAUAAAAUGAGAAUUGAGAUUGCUUUUCUUACAAUGAAGCUAAAAGCAGAUCCAGCUGUGUUUUCCAUACAUGCACAUGUAAUAACUCUACAGAUGGCAUAUUAUCCCUUAGAACAAAGGAUAGAUAUGAUAGUUUUACCAUCUAGCAACAUGCAUAUCAUGGAAUACUUAACAUGAACUAAAGCUUAUUUAUUCUGCCAAAUUUUCUUUUACUUAGUGAACUUCGUCUGCUUAGGAGGAAGGUUUCUUGUAGAUUUUCAAGUUUCAAAAACUGCAAAAGAGGAUGCUAAACUUAUGGACAAUUAGAUCAUUUUGUCUUUUAUCAAUUUAGGUGUUAAACAUUAUUAGUGACUUGGUUUCAACAGCUAAAGAAAACAAUUCUAAAUUUCCAUUUGCUUUACUAGAUUUUUCUUAAAUUAUAGGUAAAGAACUAUAAACAAAAUCGAAGAAGAAACCAGCUUAACUGCUAAUCAUUAUUAUCGACUUAAUUUUAAUAUAUAACCCAAUUUUUCUUUAGAGAAAUAAUAGACCUUAGCCAUUGUUUUGUUCUUGACCUUUUGAUUUGAACUCUAAUAAACACAAAGUGUACAUGAAUUAUUUCUUUUAGAUAUUUAGCUCUUAUGCUACUUUAAUGUCUUAGGAUUUAAAACUCUGAUUGCAUUGCUUUUUUUAUUUUGUCAAAAACUUUUAUAAGCAGACUAAACAAAAACUAGAUAGAGUUGGGAUGAUGAUCUAAUGAUCAUCAAAUUCAGAAAGAAAAGUAAACUCUUUAAACAGUGCAAAUUUUUAGACCCACCCAGGAACUAUCACUGGUUUAUGGUAAUCUUCAAAUAGCUUAAUUAUCAGGUGGACUUGAAGAAAUCCAAAUAUAUUGUGAUUGUGCUGGUUUGCCAAAUGGUGAACCAUUAAAGUUAAAAAUUCUCCAAAGAAUUUAAUUUGUGCUAUGUUUUGGGCUUUACAUUUCCUAUGCUUGGAGGAUGGGAAUCUCAAUUUUAUGAGAAUCCACCUUUGGAAGUAGGUGAACCAUUUGGGUUAAACCCAAGGUUCACCUCGAUCAAAUCUGAUUGGAUUUACAAGGGAUUUCUGCUUUAUACUACAUUCUAUGGCCAUUUUCAGCACCAGUGAUUCUUAAUGCAUGCUUUGAACGUUGAAACACUAGUAAAGUUGGGAGUAUUGACUCACGGAAAAUCCUUCCUUAAUACUAUUGGUUGGGCAUUCGGAUUUUGUGGUUCUAGACAUGUUAUCAUAAUGUUAUUGGUUGGGCAUCCAGAUGUGUAGUGUAUAUAAAACUUAUGGAAUUUUAAUUCUAUGAAUGGACAUUCAAAUGUCUUACAUUGGAAGCCUCUCCAAUUGAUCUUGUCAUGAUUUAAAUCGAUUUUCUUGAUAUGAAACAUUUUCUAAACUAUUUUAUAGCUUUUUGAACACUAAUUUCUCAUUUAAAUUGAUUAACACACUGAGUUUAACCAAUUAUCUUUCAUUCUUUCACUAAAUUUUGAAAAUAUUUCAACAUGGUAUUUUUAAGACAAAACCAAGCAUUAUAUCUUUUAUCCAUAAAUU